GUCCCGGGUAGCCUAGUGGACAUGGCAUCUGCCCGGUAAGCGGAACAUUGUGGGUUCGUUUCCCAUCCCUGGACA
Molecule: non-coding RNA, 75 nt
Organism: Cordylochernes scorpioides
Lineage: Eukaryota; Metazoa; Arthropoda; Arachnida; Pseudoscorpiones; Chernetidae
Source: the annotation of a GenBank genome assembly